RNAcentral lists this ribosomal RNA (513 nucleotides) under uncultured bacterium. RNAcentral describes it as "partial 16S ribosomal RNA". It matches the Rfam family "Bacterial small subunit ribosomal RNA", at positions 28 to 523 of the family's 1533-position model. The record is from RNAcentral.
GAUGAACGCUGGCGGCGUGCUAAUACAUGCAAGUCGAGCGAACAGAUGAGAAGCUUGCUUCUCUGAUGUUAGCGGCGGACGGGUGAGUAACACGUGGGUAACCUACCUAUAAGACUGGGAUAACUCCGGGAAACCGGGGCUAAUACCGGAUAAUAUUUUGAACCGCAUGGUUCAAUAGUGAAAUACGGUUUCGGCUGUCACUUAUAGAUGGACCCGCGCCGUAUUAGCUAGUUGGUAAGGUAACGGCUUACCAAGGCGACGAUACGUAGCCGACCUGAGAGGGUGAUCGGCCACACUGGAACUGAGACACGGUCCAGACUCCUACGGGAGGCAGCAGUAGGGAAUCUUCCGCAAUGGGCGAAAGCCUGACGGAGCAACGCCGCGUGAGUGAUGAAGGUCUUCGGAUCGUAAAACUCUGUUGUUAGGGAAGAACAAAUUUGUUAAUAACUGAACAAGUCUUGACGGUACCUGACCAGAAAGCCACGGCUAACUACGUGCCAGCAGCCGCAGUAA